This 488-nucleotide ribosomal RNA is filed under the name uncultured bacterium. RNAcentral describes it as "bacterial SSU rRNA". It matches the Rfam family "Bacterial small subunit ribosomal RNA", at positions 30 to 507 of the family's 1533-position model. The record is from RNAcentral.
AUUGAACGCUGGCGGCAGGCCUAACACAUGCAAGUCGAACGGCAGCGGGGGUAGCUUGCUACUCUGCCGGCGAGUGGCGGACGGUGAGUAAUGCCUGGGGAGCUGCCCAAUCGAGGGGGAUACCAGUUGGAAACGACUGCUAAUACCGCAUACGCCCUGAGGGGGAAAGGUGGGGAUCUUCGGACCUACCGCGAUUGGAUGCACCCAGGUGGGAUUAGCUAGUUGGUGAGGUAACGGCUCACCAAGGCGACGAUCUCUAGCUGGUCUGAGAGGAUGACCAGCCACACUGGAACUGAGACACGGUCCAGACUCCUACGGGAGGCAGCAGUGGGGAAUAUUGCACAAUGGGGGAAACCCUGAUGCAGCCAUGCCGCGUGUGUGAAGAAGGCCUUCGGGUUGUAAAGCACUUUCAGCGAGGAGGAAAGGUGGCUAGCUAAUACCUAGUUGCUGUGACGUUACUCGCAGAAGAAGCACCGGCUAACUCCGUG